GUGGCAAUUCACUGAUGUGAUGAUAUACAUUACCACAAGGCAGAUGCAGCCACCAAGGGAGCGUCUCAUCCCGUGUCCUGUCGAGGAAGAUGUCCCCACUGGGGCUCUCAUUUUCAACAACUUAGUCUUGACUGCAGUCUUCUUACCAUUUCAGGGUGCAGGCAUCAGACACCGUGGCAAGGACGUGUACCCCAACACAGGAAAAACUAGCCAUACUGUGGUUGUCUCCCAUACAUGGAUGCGUCACUCACUGCUAGCUCUACCUCGGUUGCCCAUCUUAUCACCCACCCAUAGCAGGGACCGUACAGCCAACACAUCUUUGGGCCUGUGGGCCCAUCCCUAUUGGGGCGCUAACUGUGUUGUGUGCUUUCUUCCUGAUAGACCUGCCCAAAUAUCCUUUUACUCCUGAGGCGGGGAUGCUUAUGAUCGAUCAAAUUAAACGAUUCCCACCCAGUUCUGGCUUGAACCAUUGAAAUAACAGGGGUCACUUCUGGGACCCUGGGUGACUCAGGUAGCUGUACCACUGAUUUGUCAAACCCUGCCCGGGUGACAAGUCAUGAAGGCUACGUGACUGGAAUUCCUAGACAACUUACGGGUGGCUCCAUCACAGAUGGCUCUCCUAGAAAAACAGCCAUCACCUCCAUUAGAUCAGCUAUUCCUGCUUGCGGACAUCCAUCACCAUAGGAAUGGAUCCUCACCUGAUAUUCCAGUGACUCCUCCCAGCUACCUGGAUGCAGUUCUGCUCUAAUUGCCCAAGGCUUUGGGGGACUCUAGAAGUGCUAGGGUGUACAGGCUGGGGGAAAUGAAUUGAGAGGGUUCCAUCCAUGUAGAAGCCGUUCUUCAUUUUUGGAUGAAGAGUUCCCAGCAUGGCUGCUUUGGGAUCAGUCGUGCUCCUGUGGCGAACCCCU
RNAcentral lists this long non-coding RNA (908 nucleotides) under Rattus norvegicus (Norway rat). RNAcentral's name for it is "long non-coding RNA NONRATT007892". Lineage: Eukaryota; Metazoa; Chordata; Mammalia; Rodentia; Muridae. The record is from RNAcentral.